AGCAGCCGCGGUAAUUCCAGCUCCAAUAGCGUAUAUUAAAGUUGUUGCAGUUAAAAAGCUCGUAGUUGAAUUUCGGGAUCAAUAUGUCGGUCGUGCCAUUGGUACGUACUGGUAUCAUUGAUUUCUCCUUUCUGACGAACCAUGAUGUCAUUAAUUUGGUGUUAUGGGGAGUUUAGGACUGUUACUUUGAAAAAAUUAGAGUGUUUAAAGCAGGCAUUAGCUUGAAUACAUUAGCAUGGAAUAAUGAAAUAGGACGUUUGACCCUAUUUUGUUGGUUUCUAGGAUCGACGUAAUGAUUAAUAGGGAUAGUUGGGGGCAUUAGUAUUCAAUUGUCAGAGGUGAAAUUCUUGGAUUUAUUGAAGACUAACUACUGCGAAAGCAUUUGCCAAGGGUGUUUUCAUUAAUCAAGAACGAAAGUUAGGGGAUCGAAGACGAUCAGAUACCGUCGUAGUACUUAACCAUAAACUAUGCCGACUAGGGAUCGGAUGAUGUAAUUUUUAANGUACUCAUUCGGCGUCCG
Molecule: ribosomal RNA, 520 nt
Filed under: uncultured Glomus
Lineage: Eukaryota; Fungi; Glomeromycota; Glomeromycetes; Glomerales; Glomeraceae
Description: SSU rRNA
Rfam family: Eukaryotic small subunit ribosomal RNA
Source: RNAcentral